This 488-nucleotide ribosomal RNA is filed under the name uncultured bacterium. Its description in RNAcentral is "partial 16S ribosomal RNA". It matches the Rfam family "Bacterial small subunit ribosomal RNA", at positions 28 to 507 of the family's 1533-position model. The record is from RNAcentral.
GACGAACGCUGGCGGCGUGCUUAACACAUGCAAGUCGAACGGAAAGGCCCUGCUUUUGUGGGGUGCUCGAGUGGCGAACGGGUGAGUAACACGUGAGUAACCUGCCCUUGACUUUGGGAUAACUUCAGGAAACUGGGGCUAAUACCGGAUAGGAGCUCCUGCUGCAUGGUGGGGGUUGGAAAGUUUCGGCGGUUGGGGAUGGACUCGCGGCUUAUCAGCUUGUUGGUGGGGUAGUGGCUUACCAAGGCUUUGACGGGUAGCCGGCCUGAGAGGGUGACCGGCCACACGGGGACUGAGACGCGGCCCAGACUCAGACGGGAGGCAGCAGUGGGGAAUUUUGGACAAUGGGGGCAACCCUGAUCCAGCCAGGCCGCGUGCGGGAAGGAGGCCUUCGGGUUGGAAAGCGCGGUUGUUCGGGAAGAAAUCCUCUGGGCUAAUACCCCGGGGGGAUGACGGUACCGGAAGAAUAAGCACCGGCUAACUACGUG